AUCGCAAGACCUCGUGCUCAUAGAGCGGCCGAUAUCUGAUUAGCUAGUUGGUGAGGUAAAGGCUCACCAAGGCUUCGAUCAGUAGCUGGUCUGAGAGGACGACCAGCCACACUGGGACUGAGACACGGCCCAGACUCCUACGGGAGGCAGCAGUGGGGAAUUUUGGACAAUGGGGGCAACCCUGAUCCAGCAAUGCCGCGUGAGUGAAGAAGGCCUUCGGGUUGUAAAGCUCUUUUGUCAGGGAAGAAACGGGAUGUCCUAAUACGAUGUCCUAAUGACGGUACCUGAAGAAUAAGCACCGGCUAACUACGUGCCAGCAGCCGCGGUAAUACGUAGGGUGCAAGCGUUAAUCGGAAUUACUGGGCGUAAAGCGUGCGCAGGCGGUUAUGUAAGACAGGUGUGAAAUCCCCGGGCUUAACCUGGGAAUGGCAUUUGUGACUGCAUAGCUAGAGUGUGUCAGAGGGGGGUAGAAUUCCACGUGUAGCAGUGAAAUGCGUAGAGAUGUGGAGGAAUACCGAUGGCGAAGGCAGC
RNAcentral lists this ribosomal RNA (531 nucleotides) under Collimonas sp. RNAcentral describes it as "bacterial SSU rRNA". It matches the Rfam family "Bacterial small subunit ribosomal RNA", at positions 202 to 725 of the family's 1533-position model. Lineage: Bacteria; Pseudomonadati; Pseudomonadota; Betaproteobacteria; Burkholderiales; Oxalobacteraceae. The record is from RNAcentral.